RNAcentral lists this ribosomal RNA (689 nucleotides) under Streptomyces sp. GLT-Irr-2. Its description in RNAcentral is "bacterial SSU rRNA". It matches the Rfam family "Bacterial small subunit ribosomal RNA", at positions 123 to 826 of the family's 1533-position model. The record is from RNAcentral. Lineage: Bacteria; Bacillati; Actinomycetota; Actinomycetes; Kitasatosporales; Streptomycetaceae.
AAUCUGCCCUUCACUCUGGGACAAGCCCUGGAAACGGGGUCUAAUACCGGAUAACACUGCGGAUCGCAUGGUCUGCGGUUGAAAGCUCCGGCGGUGAAGGAUGAGCCCGCGGCCUAUCAGCUUGUUGGUGGGGUGAUGGCCUACCAAGGCGACGACGGGUAGCCGGCCUGAGAGGGCGACCGGCCACACUGGGACUGAGACACGGCCCAGACUCCUACGGGAGGCAGCAGUGGGGAAUAUUGCACAAUGGGCGAAAGCCUGAUGCAGCGACGCCGCGUGAGGGAUGACGGCCUUCGGGUUGUAAACCUCUUUCAGCAGGGAAGAAGCGAAAGUGACGGUACCUGCAGAAGAAGCGCCGGCUAACUACGUGCCAGCAGCCGCGGUAAUACGUAGGGCGCAAGCGUUGUCCGGAAUUAUUGGGCGUAAAGAGCUCGUAGGCGGCUUGUCGCGUCGGAUGUGAAAGCCCGGGGCUUAACCCCGGGUCUGCAUUCGAUACGGGCAGGCUAGAGUGUGGUAGGGGAGAUCGGAAUUCCUGGUGUAGCGGUGAAAUGCGCAGAUAUCAGGAGGAACACCGGUGGCGAAGGCGGAUCUCUGGGCCAUUACUGACGCUGAGGAGCGAAAGCGUGGGGAGCGAACAGGAUUAGAUACCCUGGUAGUCCACGCCGUAAACGUUGGGAACUAGGUGUUGG